CCUGAUUGAUUCUGUCAGCGCGAUAUGCUCAAGUAAAAGAUUAAGCCAUGCAUGCUUUGAUUCAUAAAUGAAAUUGCGUACGGCUCAUUAGAGCAGAUAUCACCUUUCUCGGAAUCCUGAAAAGGAUAACUGCGGAAAUUCUGGAGCUAAUACAUGCGACUAUACUCCAACGCAAGGCGGGGUGCAAUUAUUAGAACAGACCAAACGUUUUCGGACGUUGUUUGUUGACUCUGAAUACCGUCGUUUACUGUCAGUUUCGACUGACUCUAUCCGAAGAAGGGUGUCUGCCCUUUCAACUAGAUGGUAAUCUAUUGGACUACCAUGGUUGUUACGGGUAACGGAGAAUUAGGGUUCGACUCCGGAGAGGGAGCCUUAGAAACGGCUACCACGUCCAAGGAAGGCAGCAGGCGCGAAACUUAUCCACUGUUGAGUAUGAGAUAGUGACUAAAAAUAUAAAGACUCAUCCUUUUGGAUGAGUUAUUUCAAUGAGUUGAAUAUAAAUUAUUCUUCGAGUAGCAAGGAGAGGGCAAGUCUGGUGCCAGCAGCCGCGGUAAUUCCAGCUCUCCUAGUGUAUCUCGUUAUUGCUGCGGUUAAAAAGCUCGUAGUUGGAUCUAGGUUACGUGCCGCAGUUCGCAAUUUGCGUUAACUGUGGUCGUGACUUCUAAUUUGCUGGUUUGAGGUUGGGUUCGCCCUUCAACUGCCAGCAGGUUUACCUUGAAUAAAUCAGAGUGCUCAAUACAGGCGCUUGCUUGAAUAGCUCAUCAUGGAAUAAUGAAACAGGACUUCGGUUCUUUUUGUUGGUUCUAGAAUUGAUCUAAUGGUUAAGAGGGACAAACCGGGGGCAUUCGUAUCAUUACGCGAGAGGUGAAAUUCGUGGACCGUAGUGAGACGCCCAAUAGCGAAAGCAUUUGCCAAGAAUGUCUUCAUUAAUCAAGAACGAAAGUCAGAGGUUCGAAGGCGAUUAGAUACCGCCCUAGUUCUGACCGUAAACGAUGCCAUCUCGCGAUUCGGAGGGUUCAUGCCCUACCGAGGAGCUACCCGGAAACGAAAGUCUUUCGGUUCCGGGGGUAGUAUGGUUGCAAAGCUGAAACUUAAAGAAAUUGACGGAAGGGCACCACAAGGCGUGGAGCUUGCGGCUUAAUUUGACUCAACACGGGAAAACUCACCCGGUCCGGACACUAUUAGGACUGACAGAUUGAAAGCUCUUUCUCGAUUUGGUGGUUGGUGGUGCAUGGCCGUUCUUAGUUGGUGGAGUGAUUUGUCUGGGUUUAUUCCGAUAACGAGCGAGACUCUAGCCUGCUAAAUAGUCGACGAAUCUUCGGGUUCGUAAUAACUUCUUAGAGGGA
Molecule: non-coding RNA, 1346 nt
Filed under: Caenorhabditis japonica
Lineage: Eukaryota; Metazoa; Nematoda; Chromadorea; Rhabditida; Rhabditidae
Description: rRNA CJA48392
Rfam family: Eukaryotic small subunit ribosomal RNA
Source: Rfam by way of RNAcentral